GGCUCAGGACGAACGCUGGCGGCGUGCCUAAUACAUGCAAGUCGAGCGGGGUUGUUUAGAAGCUUGCUUCUAAACAACCUAGCGGCGGACGGGUGAGUAACACGUAGGCAACCUGCCCACAAGACAGGGAUAACUACCGGAAACGGUAGCUAAUACCCGAUACAUCCUUUUCCUGCAUGGGAGAAGGAGGAAAGACGGAGCAAUCUGUCACUUGUGGAUGGGCCUGCGGCGCAUUAGCUAGUUGGUGGGGUAAAGGCCUACCAAGGCGACGAUGCGUAGCCGACCUGAGAGGGUGAUCGGCCACACUGGGACUGAGACACGGCCCAGACUCCUACGGGAGGCAGCAGUAGGGAAUCUUCCGCAAUGGGCGAAAGCCUGACGGAGCAACGCCGCGUGAGUGAUGAAGGUUUUCGGAUCGUAAAGCUCUGUUGCCAGGGAAGAACGUCUUGUAGAGUAACU
This 459-nucleotide ribosomal RNA is filed under the name Paenibacillus sp. RNAcentral describes it as "bacterial SSU rRNA". It matches the Rfam family "Bacterial small subunit ribosomal RNA", at positions 21 to 465 of the family's 1533-position model. Lineage: Bacteria; Bacillati; Bacillota; Bacilli; Caryophanales; Paenibacillaceae. The record is from RNAcentral.